CUGAACUACCUUGCUGUAAACCAUUCAUAGAAAUUGAUUAUAAUAACGAUCAUCUUAGAAAUCAAUACUUCAAUGGCGCAAAAAGAAUUAGCAAUAUAAUACCUUUUGAAGCUUUUCACAUGUGUGAAGAUGAAGAAGAUAAAUUUAAGCUGAGAUUAGUUAUGUUAGUUGAGUGUGUAUUGAAACCGACUUCAAGACAAAUUGAUUAUAGAACUCUGGGCAUGGUUGAAGAUGAGUUCCUUACAUAUCCAUGGGGUCGGAUAACAUAUUUCGUUUUGUUAAAUUCAUUGAAAGAGUCACAAUUGGAAAGAAUACUAAGGAUGCAACAGAACCAACAAACAGAAUGUAAGUAUGCACUACAAGGCUAUCCACUCCCAUUUCAGGUAUUCUGUUCCUAUUCUAAUUACUGACAUAUUAUGUAUUAUUUCUUUGUACAAUGAAUAAAUUAUAUAUAUCACAUUUAUCUUUAAUUAUAUUGCAGUAUUGGAUAUAUGAAGCGUUUCUACAGAUUGGACAAAAGUUUGGUCGUCGUAGAUACAAAACGG
Molecule: long non-coding RNA, 545 nt
Filed under: Olea europaea subsp. europaea
Lineage: Eukaryota; Viridiplantae; Streptophyta; Magnoliopsida; Lamiales; Oleaceae
Source: RNAcentral